Molecule: transfer RNA, 72 nt
Filed under: Daphnia galeata
Lineage: Eukaryota; Metazoa; Arthropoda; Branchiopoda; Diplostraca; Daphniidae
Rfam family: tRNA
About the family: Transfer RNA (tRNA) molecules are approximately 80 nucleotides in length.
Source: Rfam by way of RNAcentral
GGUCCCAUGGUGUAAUGGUGAGCACACAGGACUUUGAAUCCUGAGAUCCGAGUUCGAUCCUCGGUGGGACCU